This 477-nucleotide ribosomal RNA is filed under the name uncultured bacterium. Its description in RNAcentral is "partial 16S ribosomal RNA". It matches the Rfam family "Bacterial small subunit ribosomal RNA", at positions 355 to 824 of the family's 1533-position model. The record is from RNAcentral.
UAGGGAAUCUUCCACAAUGGACGAAAGUCUGAUGGAGCAACGCCGCGUGAGUGAAGAAGGUUUUCGGAUCGUAAAGCUCUGUUGUUGGUGAAGAAGGAUAGAGGCAGUAACUGGUCUUUAUUUGACGGUAAUCAACCAGAAAGUCACGGCUAACUACGUGCCAGCAGCCGCGGUAAUACGUAGGUGGCAAGCGUUGUCCGGAUUUAUUGGGCGUAAAGCGAGCGCAGGCGGAAUGAUAAGUCUGAUGUGAAAGCCCACGGCUCAACCGUGGAACUGCAUCGGAAACUGUCAUUCUUGAGUGCAGAAGAGGAGAGUGGAACUCCAUGUGUAGCGGUGGAAUGCGUAGAUAUAUGGAAGAACACCAGUGGCGAAGGCGGCUCUCUGGUCUGCAACUGACGCUGAGGCUCGAAAGCAUGGGUAGCGAACAGGAUUAGAUACCCUGGUAGUCCAUGCCGUAAACGAUGAGCGCUAGGUGUU